AGACAGGAACUUGGCAUCCUCUUGGCUACCUCCUCACACCUAGGGCAGUGCCUGGCCUUUGGUUGAAGUUCAAUAAAGCUGACCUUUCAUUAAUAAAGGAAAAGGUAAAGAAACUGAGUUUCAUCUGGGCUGUCUUUAAGACUGGGUGCUUCUUUUCUUGAAAAAAAAAAAUAAUCUCAGGACCAAAUUUAUGUGCCGUCUUUGGUAGACAUGCCAGGGAAUUUAUGCCCAGAUCAGCUGGUUUCACUUCCUCCAUUGUCCGCUUUGUUUCUAUUCCUUUUCCUGGGAUGGUUUACAUUUCUGCUAGCUAUCUUACUGUUCUUAAAUGUUAUUGAACAAUGUGGAAAGCAUGUGGAGGUUUUCUGGUCUUCUAUGGCUCUUUGCUCUCUGGCUGCCAGGGCGAGAGAAAGACACCGUACAAAUCCCUAGCCCAUCUUGUUAAGUGGACACAGAUUUCUCUUGUGUCAGGAGUCCCUGGGGGAAUUCUGAAGCUCUACAAAUUGUCCCAGGGAUCAUUAGCUGCAGAGGAGGACCUCACGGUCACAGAAAAGUCAUGGAAAAAACAGUGAGGAAGCAGCUGUGUCUCCUUAGCCUGUAAUCUGGUGGGCCAAAGUUGAAGAGAGUGCUUUAAAAUUUGCCUGCCCUGAAGGGCACGAGGAAGGUUUCUGGGUUAACUGCCCGGGUGCCAGCAAGUGCAGGAACAGGGCCGGCAUUGUCCCACAGGCUGGGUCCCUAGAGAACAGCACUGCUCUUUUCUCCACGUGGAAGGUUCCAGAGGGCUGGAAGCAAAGCCACACUGAGCCACCUCACAGACAUUAGUAAUGUAUCCCUCUGCUCCCUCAGAGGUCAGAACCUGGAGGCUGAAGCCGGGGUACUCCGGGACUACAGCUUCCUGUGCCCACAGGCAGUGCUCCAGACUGCCAAGGGGAGUGUGAAGUCAAGCUGGCUGAGGAACAGAGGCUGGAGUCGCUUCUCGAGGCCAGGAGGAGGUCUCUAACUCCAAGCAGCCUCUCCACGAAGAACUUGGCUAGUCUUUUCACGAACUCAGUUCAGCCUCAAGGCCGGGUGAGCAUCCAGCCCCUGGUCCGGCAGAGAGCCCUGAGACGACACAGCAGAAUGACUGGCUUCAGCACCCUCGGGUAUCCUCAGAUAAAGGACUCUGAGAUGUUGGCAUGGAGGACGAGGGCUCUUCCAUUUCACCUCCUGGCAGAAGUGUGAACAGAUCAAAUACCAGCACGGUUUCAUCACCAAUGAAUACGCAGGAGGGUGUCCUCAAGUUGGGAGCAGUGGUUCUAGACCGUGAGCCUACUUUACCCUCGUGGGGGAUGGGGAGCAGCCAUGAAAACAGAUGGCAGAUGUGGGGCUCACUCCUGUAAUCCCAACACUCCAGAGGCUGAGGGAGGAGGAUAUUUGUGAGUUCAAGGCCAGCCUGGGUUAUGUAGCAAGAUCUUUUUUUUUAAUUUUUUAUUGUUAUUUUAGCUGAAACUGGUGACAUAAGCUUGUGAGCUCAACACUUGAGAGGCAGAGGCAGGGGCAUCACUGCAAGCUCCAGACAAGCUUGGACUACACAAUGACACUCUGUCUCAAAUAAACAAAAUGGUAUGUGUCCAGGGGUCAGGGUGGGGUCAUGGUGAAUGAAACACACCUAUAAAUUCUGUUAGAAAGCUGAGUCAGAGGAUCGUAAGUUCAAGGACAAUUUGAACUAUGUAUGGAGACCCUGUCUCCAAAACAGUAACAAAACCCAAACAAUAAACAACAGGACCAGAGAUCACUGGACCCAGAACUACAGAUCCCACAGAGAACCACUAGGUCUAGAAUUGGAUUCACUAAGCUUCUUACCGGUGGUGGCUGGGUGCUCACACUGCUGGUCUUGGAACCCCACUUUGAGAAACCUGUCUCUAGCUUGCAAGGGUGAGGUCUACUUAAACCCCCAAAUUCUAUCACUUUGAGGGUCUUCGGAAAGAAAGGUGGCUGGCCGUCUCCACGCUCCCUUCACUAUUCAAGUGGGUCACUCAGCUUUCAACUUCAGAGCCCUUUUGUGGCACAGAUGCUCAUGGCUGUGUUGAGGGUGCCCCCUAGUGGUCCACCUGAAAAACGAACCUGCUCUUUAAGGUAUUUUUGCCUUUAUCCUUAACAAGGUAAGCCAACCUUCAAACUGUAUCAAACAAACCAGGGAACUGGAGGUGAUCAUCAUUGGCAAAGAUCCAGUCCAGGUGCAGAGGAGGGGCUAGGGCCCCAUUUGAUGUGUGCUGGGUCAAAUAGGUGGCCUACUGAUGAUACCAUGGCUUUGGAAUCUUUGUCCAAACGAGAAGGCUUUAAGACUUACCAUGUUUCUUCAUUCAAAUUUUAUAGGUGUUAAAAUCAAGACAAGGCUUGUGAGGUGGUUCAGUGGGUAAAAGCCCUUGCCACCAAGCUUGACAACCUGAGUUCAAUCCCUGGGACCCACGUAGUGGAAGGAGAGAACUGACUCCCACAAGUUGUCCUCUGACCUCUACACAUAUGCUGUGGGUUGUACAAGCCCCACCCCACCCCCCAAAUUAAAUAAAUGUAAUUUAAAAAUCAA
Peromyscus californicus insignis is the source of this 2563-nucleotide long non-coding RNA. RefSeq lists it as uncharacterized. The record is from RefSeq and is a predicted model, not a curated record. NCBI's taxonomy places the organism in Eukaryota, Metazoa, Chordata, Mammalia, Rodentia, Cricetidae. The transcript has 2 exons.